CCUCACCAUGCUGCACUGGGACAGGAGGUAGCACAUAGUGGCCGAUCCUCACUGACUUUACACUCUGUCGCUUUUUACACACACACAGGAACAAGCUGUGAAAAACUGUGAUCUUGUCCCAGAGGGUGUCCGGGUGUGCAGCAUCAUCACUGAAAAGGGUGGCUAUGGGCCAGAGCCGCCUCACCUCCAACACGAUGAGGUUCCAGUAAGAACAGCAGCACUGGGGUUCUGUGCAGGAUUGUCAUCCAAUCGAAGCACUUAUUAAAGUGCACGAUGUUUGCCAGGAUGCUUCCAGUCCAGGCUUAAGACGCUUUCCUUCUGUCGCCACGCAAUAGGUUCUUUUCAGAUACUGGAAUUGCAAUUGAGUCCCUCUGCUGUGUACUGGAGAGUGACUGGUCCAGGAGCUUCAAAGCAGCACUCACUCUGUUGCUAUGACAACAGUGAAGCCACUCCCUGUUUGUUUCCCAACCCCCCCCCAUCUUUUGGUGUUCAGAGUGGCUCUUAGGAGAGGCUGGUGGUGUUCAUUAAACAUAGUCAAACAUAUUUCUUCCUAGCUUCCCAUUUUAACAGAUUCAAUUGCAUCAAAACAUUUGUUGUUAUUCUAUAUAAUCAAUGAAACAUUUUGAC
This is a long non-coding RNA of Syngnathoides biaculeatus (alligator pipefish), 627 nucleotides long. RefSeq lists it as uncharacterized. The transcript has 4 exons. The record is from RefSeq and is a predicted model, not a curated record. NCBI's taxonomy places the organism in Eukaryota, Metazoa, Chordata, Actinopteri, Syngnathiformes, Syngnathidae.